CUCCCAGACUCCUACGGGAGGCAGCAGUGGGGGAUAUUGCACAAUGGGGGGAACCCUGAUGCAGCGACGCCGCGUGGGUGAAGGAGUGCUUCGGCAUGUAAAGCCCUAUCGGCAGGGAAGAAGCAAGACGGUACCUGACUAAGAAGCCCCGGCUAACUACGUGCCAGCAGCCGCGGGAAUACGUAGGGGGCGAGCGUUAUCCGGAUUCACUGGGUGUAAAGGGAGCGUAGACGGCCAUGCAAGCCAGGGGUGAAAGCCCGGGGCCCAACCCCGGGACUGCUCUGGGAACUGUGCGGCUGGAGUGCGGGAGGGGCAGGCGGAAUUCCUGGUGUAGCGGUGAAAUGCGUAUAUAUCAGGAGGAACACCGGCGGCGAAGGCGGCCUGCUGGACCGCGACUGACGUUGAGGCUCGAAAGCGUGGGGAGCAAACAGGAUUAGAUACCCCUGUAC
This 449-nucleotide ribosomal RNA is filed under the name uncultured bacterium. RNAcentral describes it as "bacterial SSU rRNA". It matches the Rfam family "Bacterial small subunit ribosomal RNA", at positions 328 to 793 of the family's 1533-position model. The record is from RNAcentral.